AUGGACACCCUGCCUAGCCUGGAGACGCUCGAGAUCGUGUGCUGUGGUGAUCUGAAAGAAGUCUUCCCUUUGGACCCUAAGCGCCGACAGAAGCGGGAAAUUAUAAGAUUUCCCAAGCUAAGGCACAUCCACCUGUACCAGCUCUCCACUCUACAGGGCAUAUGUGGGAGCAGGAUGUCCGCGCCCAACCUUGAGAUCGUCAAGGUCAGAGGUUGCUGGGGCCUUAGCCGCCUGCCGGUCGUCAGCGGUAGCACCAGCAAGCGGCCCAAGGUGGACUGUGAGAAGGACUGGUGGGACAACCUGAAGUGGGACGGUCUGGAGGCGAACCAUGACCCUUCGCUCUAUGAACCACGCCACUCGUGA
This 363-nucleotide ribosomal RNA is filed under the name Triticum aestivum (bread wheat). Its description in RNAcentral is "partial small subunit ribosomal RNA". The record is from RNAcentral. Lineage: Eukaryota; Viridiplantae; Streptophyta; Magnoliopsida; Poales; Poaceae.